UGGUCCUUUGGAAUCCAGUAAUAAGGUUCCUU
This 32-nucleotide non-coding RNA is filed under the name Rattus norvegicus (Norway rat). The record is from RNAcentral. Lineage: Eukaryota; Metazoa; Chordata; Mammalia; Rodentia; Muridae.